Long non-coding RNA from Perognathus longimembris pacificus (Pacific pocket mouse), 859 nucleotides. RefSeq lists it as uncharacterized. The transcript has 2 exons. NCBI's taxonomy places the organism in Eukaryota, Metazoa, Chordata, Mammalia, Rodentia, Heteromyidae. The record is from RefSeq and is a predicted model, not a curated record.
GCUUCCCAGCUUCUACGACGCUCUGCCUAAAUUAAAAAGCAACCAAUCGGAACGGCCGGAAGGGGGGCCGCGCGUCCUGAGCCAGUCAUUCCGGGGCUGCCAAUCACCCAGCAGGUAGCCAAUCAGCGGGGGCCCUGGUGCUCGACUUCCUUGUAUUUGGGAAAGUGUGGUGGUGGGUGCGCGCUCGCGGCGGAGGGUAAACAUUCGACAGUCCCCGCUCUGAGAGGGAGGGACAGAGAGCGAACUGUCAGAUCGCGGAGCGAGUGCGGGCGCCCGAGAGAGGGAGAGAGAGAGAGAGAGAGAGAGAGAGAGGGAGAGGAGAGAGAGAGGGAGUGAAGAGUGAGCGAGAGGGAGGGAGAGAGGGAAAGGGAGAGAGAGAGAGAGAGAGAGAGAGAGAGCGCGAACCGGGGUUCAGAGCGAGGCAACUCUGGCUCCGGCUUGGCCAGCUCCAGCCGCCCGCCGUCGGUGCGCCCUGCGAGCGGUGGAACGUGCCCGCUGGAGUUGGUUUGUGUAUCCAGGAUCCCCUAUAUGCACACACACACCUCAACCUCUACCAAUGCACUCUUCUUCCUCCUCCUCCUCCAGACAACUGCUGGGAAAAAAAUAAAACACCAACCACCCCAACCGUCAGCCGCAAGGAAAGAUGUCGCAUCAGACUGUGCGUGUCGCGGGGAGAAUGCAAAAGGACGCUUGUGUGAGAGGCCACCCGGAGCUCUGGCAAUAGCAACUUCAGAGAAAUGCACGGUCGCCAGAAGUUUUCCUAGGACAGAACAAAACUUGCUGGGAGAGAGGACCCGAGGGGGAGAGCCGGAGCCCGCCGCCCCUCUCCGCGCACGCGAGCACCACGCCUUCGAGGACG